GUCCACCGAACGGUCGGCAGGCGAUCCGCCUCGGUCUCGCGAGGUGGUAUGGUUCCCCAGAGGCCGGUUCUUGUGCUGCCUACCCGUUCGAGGGAAGCUGGCCACUUGAUGUAAGCCUCCAUCCGGCGCCCUCCAACGGGCGCAGGAGGACAACGGAGCACCCCCCGCGUUCCACCGAUCCAUCUCGGUCGCGUGGCCCGUGGGGACGUGCGAUGCUCUCGGACCCAGCGAACGCCGUGGGCGAGGACUCACGUCCCAGUCCCGAAAUGAAGCUUCGGUAUAGUGCAUGACGGCCGCUCCCGCCCCCCGACCGCCCCGGCGGCGCGGGGGCGAGGCGCGGCGUCGCGGAGGAAUGC
RNAcentral lists this unclassified non-coding RNA (356 nucleotides) under Acacia papyrocarpa. Its description in RNAcentral is "partial external transcribed spacer". Lineage: Eukaryota; Viridiplantae; Streptophyta; Magnoliopsida; Fabales; Fabaceae. The record is from RNAcentral.